GAUGAAGCGUCUGAGCGUGCGUGCCUAAUACAUGCAAGUGCGAACGCUUUGUCUUUAAUUGAUCUCGAGCGAGCUUGCUCUGAAGUGAUUUUAUCUGACAAAGAGUGGGCGAACGGGUGAGAUAACACGUGGGUAACCUACCUCUUAGGCAGGGGAUUAACAUUUGGAAACAAGUGCUUAAUACCGGUAUAAAUACCAACAACCGCAUGGUUGUUGGUUGAAAGAUGGUUCUGCUGUCACUAAGAGGAUGGACCCGCCGGUGGCAUUAGCUAGUUGGUAAGGUAACGGCUUACCAAGGCAAUGAUGCAUAGCCGAGUUGAGAGACUGAUCGGCCACAAUGGGACUGAGACACGGCCCAUACUCCUACGGGAGGCAGCAGUAGGGAAUCUUCCACAAUGGGCGCAAGCCUGAUGGAGCAACGCCGCGUGUGUGAUGAAGGGUUUCGGCUCGUAAAACACUGUUAUAAGAGAAGAACGGCGCUGAGAGUAUCUGUUCAGUGUGUGACGGUAUCUUACCAGAAAGGAACGGCUAAAUACGUGCCAGCAGCCGCGGUAAUACGUAUGUUCCAAGCGUUAUCCGGAUUUAUUGGGCGUAAAGCGAGCGCAGACGGUUAUUUAAGUCUGAAGUGAAAGCCCUCAGCUCAACUGAGGAAUGGCUUUGGGAAACUGGAUGACUUGAGUGCAGUAGAGGAAAGUGGAACUCCAUGUGUAGCGGCGAAAUGCGUAGAUAUUAUGGAAGAACACCAGUGGGCGAAGGCGGCUUUCUGGACUGUAAACUGACGUUGAGGCUCGAAAGUGGUGGGGUAGCAAACAGGAUUAAGAUACCCUGGUUAGUCCACACCGUAAACCGAAUGAGAUGCUAGAAUGUUCGAGGGUCUUCCGCCCUUGAAGUGAUCGCAAGCUAACGCAUUAAGCACAUCUCGCGCCUGUGGGGAGAUACGACCGCAAGGUUGCAACUCAAAGGAAUUGACGCAAGGGAGAAUUGUGUCCAACCUGUAAAG
Molecule: ribosomal RNA, 1000 nt
Filed under: uncultured bacterium
Lineage: Bacteria
Description: bacterial SSU rRNA
Rfam family: Bacterial small subunit ribosomal RNA
Source: RNAcentral